CUGGGGAGUGGACGAUCCAACAACAAACACAUAGAUGUUCAGCGUCUUGAGGAUAACUGUGGACCCUACGGUGGAGUUCUGUUCUGGGCUGUUACUGGAGUGUCUCUCACUGUGAACAUCGUCCUCACACUCUGCAUGGUGUUUCUUUGGAAACAAAGAGAGAGCAUGAAGCCAAAAGAAGA
Labrus bergylta (ballan wrasse) is the source of this 182-nucleotide non-coding RNA. The record is from RefSeq and is a predicted model, not a curated record. Lineage: Eukaryota; Metazoa; Chordata; Actinopteri; Labriformes; Labridae.